UGCCGGCCUCUGCGUCCCUGAGACCCUUUAACCUGUGAGGACGUCCAGGGUCACAGGUGAGGUUCUUGGGAGCCUGGCGUCCGGCC
Molecule: microRNA precursor, 86 nt
Organism: Bos indicus x Bos taurus (hybrid cattle)
Lineage: Eukaryota; Metazoa; Chordata; Mammalia; Artiodactyla; Bovidae
Gene: MIR125A
Product: microRNA 125a
Source: Ensembl